Molecule: ribosomal RNA, 253 nt
Filed under: uncultured bacterium
Lineage: Bacteria
Description: partial 16S ribosomal RNA
Rfam family: Bacterial small subunit ribosomal RNA
Source: RNAcentral
UACGGGGGGGGCAAGCGUUGUUCGGAAUUACUGGGCGUAAAGCGCACGUAGGCGGCUUUGUAAGUAAGAGGUGAAAGCCUGGAGCUCAACUCCAGAAUUGCCUUUUAGACUGCAUCGCUUGAAUCAUGGAGAGGUGAGUGGAAUUCCGAGUGUAGAGGUGAAAUUCGUAGAUAUUCGGAAGAACACCAGUGGCGAAGGCGGCUCACUGGACAUGUAUUGACGCUGAGGUGCGAAAGCGUGGGGAGCAAACAGG